This 292-nucleotide long non-coding RNA is filed under the name Homo sapiens (human). RNAcentral's name for it is "non-protein coding lnc-ZNF536-8:15". Lineage: Eukaryota; Metazoa; Chordata; Mammalia; Primates; Hominidae. The record is from RNAcentral.
GCAGGAGCGCUCGGAGUUGUGGGGUACGGACCCCAGGCGGGGCAGGGAGUCCGAGGCGGGCUGCGGCGGGGCUCUCGGGCUGGCGGACUCGGGGGCUGAGGCGCCGUGCGCGUUGGGUGCCCGCGGCCGCAGAGGCCAGAACCGCUACUCCUCCAGGCCGGGGAGACGCGGCCGUGGAGCGUGAAACGCUUCUUGCAAGCGAGGAAACGGUGAGUUGGCCGACACCGCCGGCGGCCUCACCAUUCUGGUGGCCGCGCUGAGCUCCUGUCGCCUGGAGGCGGGUUGCGCCGCA